Bombina bombina (fire-bellied toad) is the source of this 389-nucleotide long non-coding RNA. RefSeq lists it as uncharacterized. NCBI's taxonomy places the organism in Eukaryota, Metazoa, Chordata, Amphibia, Anura, Bombinatoridae. The record is from RefSeq and is a predicted model, not a curated record. The transcript has 3 exons.
UUAACAAUAAAAAAUUAAGAGCUUGUCACCACUAAAUGAACAGCUAUCCUCUAUUACUCUGUAAUAUUUUGUUUCUUUUUCUUUCUGGAAGGUGCAAGUAACAACAAUGAAUCCAUGCCUGCGUAUGGCAUCGCCCUGAUUGUCAUGUUUGCUGUGUUUCUGUGCUUGAUCCCAAUACUGUGCAUUAUAGGCUUUAGAUUUGAAUUCUGGCAAAUGCUUUUGGAGGCCUGUGCAGGAACCUAUAAUUGAAACGACGAUUAAAAUAAUUUGAAAGAAGGCUCUCCUGGUGAACACGAACGAAUGAAAAGAAUGCAGAAGAGAAUUUGAAAAACAGAACAAAUGUAAAAAGACCCAGUAUUCUUUUAAUGCAAUGAAACUAAAUAUAUGGU